Molecule: ribosomal RNA, 450 nt
Filed under: uncultured bacterium
Lineage: Bacteria
Description: partial 16S ribosomal RNA
Rfam family: Bacterial small subunit ribosomal RNA
Source: RNAcentral
GUGGGGAAUCUUCCGCAAUGGACGAAAGUCUGACGGAGCAACGCCGCGUGAGUGAAGAAGGUUUUCGGAUCGUAAAGCUCUUUCGUUAGGGACGAACGUGCUCUUUGUGAAUAAUGAGGAGUAAUGACGGUACCUAAAUAAGAAGCCACGGCUAACUACGUGCCAGCAGCCGCGGUAAUACGUAGGUGGCAAGCGUUGUCCGGAAUUAUUGGGCGUAAAGCGCGCGCAGGCGGGAUAUCAAGUCUGUCUUAAAAGUGCGAGGCUCAACCUCGUGAGGGGACAGAGACUGGUAUUCUUGAGUGUCGGAGAGGAAAGUGGAAUUCCAAGUGUAGCGGUGAAAUGCGUAGAGAUUUGGAAGAACACCAGUGGCGAAGGCGACUUUCUGGACGAUGUCUGACGCUGAGGCGCGAAAGCUAGGGGAGCGAACGGGAUUAGAUACCCUUGUAGUCC